RNAcentral lists this ribosomal RNA (227 nucleotides) under uncultured bacterium. RNAcentral describes it as "partial 16S ribosomal RNA". It matches the Rfam family "Bacterial small subunit ribosomal RNA", at positions 524 to 751 of the family's 1533-position model. The record is from RNAcentral.
UACGAAGGGGGCUAGCGUUGCUCGGAAUCACUGGGCGUAAAGGGCGCGUAGGCGGCCGAUUAAGUCGGGGGUGAAAGCCUGUGGCUCAACCACAGAAUUGCCUCGAUACUGGUUGGCUUGAGACCGGAAGAGGACAGCGGAACUGCGAGUGUAGAGGUGAAAUUCGUAGAUAUUCGCAAGAACACCAGUGGCGAAGGCGGCUGUCUGGUCCGGUUCUGACGCUGAGG